AUGACUGGGAGAAGGUUCUUAGCAUGUGCAGAGCCGGAAGGUCAAAAUUGUGGGUUUGUUCAGUGGGUUGAUGAGCAGUGGCCCCCAACAAUGGAGAAUGCAUUGCUGAAGCUUUGGUCAAUGCUUGAAGAGAGCAAGUCUGCUAGGGUGAAUGAUAAUCUUCAAAGUGCUUUAACUAUUCACCAUUUGACAGAAGAAAAGGCGAAACUGGAUGCAAAUUAUGACAAGUUAGUGAAAGAUGUGCAUCAACUUGUGGACUUUCAGCAGGAUAGGGUUGUGGAUUUCAGUUAUCUGUAG
This 297-nucleotide ribosomal RNA is filed under the name Triticum aestivum (bread wheat). Its description in RNAcentral is "partial small subunit ribosomal RNA". Lineage: Eukaryota; Viridiplantae; Streptophyta; Magnoliopsida; Poales; Poaceae. The record is from RNAcentral.